CGGUCAUCGCUACAUUUAUCGCUUGGUGCACUGCUUAUCCUCACAGGGGACUUUACGGCAACAACAAUUACAACAACAACGAUGCAAAUCUCGACUAUGCGUACAGAAACUCGUUGUCUAAUGGCCUGAACAACAACAACAACAACCUGCGUUCAAAUCUGAAUAAUCUGAACAAUCUCUCCAGACGACAAGUUCCAGCAGCAGCCCUUGGCGCAGCUCCAGUCCGACCUCCGACAGCAAAAUAUCUUCCGAUAGUCCAUAGCCGACAGUUUGACGAGAUUGACGCGUCACAUAUCCCCAUCGGAGGGAGGAGGACUCGAGACGGCCCCGUUCCCCGCAAUUUGCUGUAAACUGUCUUAUUAACAAACCGUUAGUCCACAAUUCCUUACAACUGUCUUCGCUCAGAACUCUGUGAUUGCUUAAUAAAACAUUUCAUUUGUUACA
Molecule: non-coding RNA, 444 nt
Organism: Spodoptera litura
Lineage: Eukaryota; Metazoa; Arthropoda; Insecta; Lepidoptera; Noctuidae
Source: RefSeq, a predicted model, not a curated record